AACCUGGUUGAUCCUGCCAGUAUUAUAUGCUGAUGUUAAAGAUUAAGCCAUGCAUGUGUAAGUUUAAAGUCCAAGAAGGAUGAAACUGCGGACGGCUCAUUAAAACAGUAAUAGUUUCUUUGGUUAGUAUUUAAAAGGAUAACUUUGUGAAUGAUAAAGCUAAUACUUGAGACGAUCCGAGGAGUAUUUAUACUCAUCGGCCACUGGUUUCGGCUAGUGUGAAUGACAUCCUCAAUUGAAUACGGAUGCCACGACAAUUGUAGAGAGCGACGCCCUUCACAAGUAACCAAUGAGAAUUUCUGAUCUAUCAAUUUGUUGGUAGUAUCGAGGACUACCAAGAUUAUAACGGAUAACGAGGAAUUGGGGUUCGACAUCGGAGAGGGAGCUUUAAAGAUGGCUACCACUUCUAAGGAAGGCAGCAGGCGCGUAAAUUACCCACUUUCGACAUGAAGAGGUAGUGACGACAAAUAACUCUUGGAACCCUUAUGGGUUUCACGAUGGAAUGACUAAGAACUAAAUUCUCUUAGGAAAUCAAUUGGAGGGCAAGUCUGGUGCCAGCAGCCGCGGUAAUUCCAGCUCCAAUAGUGUAUAUUAAAGUUGCUGUGAUUAAAACGCUCGUAGUUGAAUUAAAAUGCGUUAAGUAGUUGGAAACUGUACUCUGUAUAGUGGAAGGCUUACAAUAAAAGACGCUUAGGCGAAACUUACCUCUGGUAAGUUUCAUUACUUUGAAAAAAAUAGGGUGUUUAAAGCAAAUCUUAUGUUAAUGAAUAAUGAAGCAUGGGACAAUACUAAGGAGAUCUACUUAUAGAUUUCGAGAAAAGGAUUAAGAGGAACAAUUGGGGUGAUUCAGAAAAUAACGGGAGAGGUGAAAAUCCAUGAUCGCUAUAAGAUGCACGAGAGCGAAAGCAUUUCACUCAAUUGCGUUCAUUAAUCAAGAACGAAAGUUAGGGGAUCGAAGACGAUCAGAUACCGUCGUAGUCCUAACUAUAAACGAUGUCAACCAAGGAUUGGAUUAGUCAUAGAGUGACUGAAGCAUUGUAUCAUUGAUACAUUGCUGACGGAACUCGCUUCUACCUUAUUCAGAACUUAAAGAGAAAUCUUGAGUUUAUGGACUUCAGGGGGAGUAUGGUCACAAGGCUGAAACUUAAAGGAAUUGACGGAAGGGCACACCAGGAGUGGAGCCUGCGGCUUAAUUUGACUCAACACGGGAAAACUUACCAAGACCGAACAGUAUUAGGAAUGACAGGUUAAGGGUCCUUUCAUGAUUUAUUGGGUAGUGGUGCAUGGCCGUUCUUAGUUGGUGGAGUGAUUUGUCAGGUUAAUUCCGGUAACGAACGAGACUGAAGCCUAUUAAUUAGUUUUCCAUCUAUACGGUGGAAAUGUUCGCAAGAACAGAUGCAUUCGUAUCACUUCUUAAAGGGACUAAUAUCAAUUGUUUCCAGGUUAAUUGGUGUAUUCACUUCGGUGAGACCCUUUUAAUCGGAAAAAAAGAUAAAGGAAGCAUUCAGCAAUAACAGGUCUGUGAUGCCCUUAGACAUCUUGGGCUGCACGCGCGCUACAAUGGAGAUACUAGCGAGUAUUUAACGAAGCUGCCUGUAUAUCCACUUCGGUGGCUAUAUAGGAUUAGCGACGUUGUAUCGAGACUGAAAUAGUUUAGGCAAACUCAAAAGAUCGUACAUGACAGGGAUAAAUGAUUGGAAUUAUUUGUUUUGAACGAGGAAUUCCUUGUAAUAUCGAGUCACUAGCUCGAGAUGAAUACGUCCCUGCCCUUUGUACACACCGCCCGUCGCUCCUACCGAUUGAGUAAGGAGGUGAAAUUCUAGGACUUACCGGUUUAGAACCGAGGGGAAUGGAUUUAAAUCUCUUUACUUAGAGGAAGGAGAAGUCGUAACAAGGUUUCCGUAGGUGAACCUGCAGAAGGAUC
This 1924-nucleotide ribosomal RNA is filed under the name Entamoeba sp. RNAcentral describes it as "partial small subunit ribosomal RNA". It matches the Rfam family "Eukaryotic small subunit ribosomal RNA". Lineage: Eukaryota; Evosea; Mastigamoebida; Endamoebidae. The record is from RNAcentral.